Molecule: non-coding RNA, 1224 nt
Organism: Arachis ipaensis
Lineage: Eukaryota; Viridiplantae; Streptophyta; Magnoliopsida; Fabales; Fabaceae
Source: RefSeq, a predicted model, not a curated record
UAAGUCUCAGCCUAAUAAUCAUCAAAACGACAUUGCAUUGUGAGGAGAUGAAGGAUGUGACUCAAAAGGCAUUUGACCCUUUUCUCCAUCAAGUGUUUUCAGAAGUCUAAAACAACUCUUACUUCUCACAUAAGAUUACUGUGAAUCUUUACCAGCGGGUACAUUUUUCUCCAAAAUGAGGCGAUGAAGCUAUGAAGUGAAGCGUUGUUGACAGCACUAUAAAAGGUCGACAGAGCUACUAACAGAGACCCAAACGCAGAGGGUUACCUGGGUGCAUAGACAAAGGCUUAUUUUAGCCACCAUCCGAAGGUCGACAACAUUACAAAUAAUAUAUGCGAAGUAUGGAAUGACAAGAUUAUCGAAUAUAUAUAUAGAGAGGGAGAUUUCCAACUCGCUUUAAAUUAGCGCUGAGGUGUACACUUAAUUGUACGCUGAUGUGGACACACAAUCAGUUCAACUCAAAUUAGUAUCCCAAAUUUGAUUAAAACACCCAAAUUGAUCUAUUCACACUUAUAAAACCCUAACUCCCAAAUGUUCAUCUUUGUUCUUUGUAUUCAGCUUUGUUCUUCGUCUCCACUCUUCUCCUCCUCGUUACUGUUGUUCAUGUUCUUUGUCUCCACUCCUCUCCUCCUUGUUGUUGUUGUUGUUGUUGUUGUUCGUCUUUGUUCUUCAUCUCACUCCUCUCCUCCUCGUUGCUAUUGUUCAUCUUGUGAAGCUCUGAAAAGUUGUUCUUUGGGCGAGGCAUGAUGGGCGAUGAUGAUAAAAGUCAAGGAAGCUCAAGUAAGAACAACUCCAGUGGGAAAAAUUACAGUAACCGGGGGAUUCGAACCAGGGGUAAGAACGUUGUAUUAUGCAAUUGUAGGUUGCGUACUAUGAUUAAGUACUUAGCAACGCCAGAGAAUUUAGGAAGACCUUUUUAUGGGUGUCCCAACUAUGAGGUAAAAUGCUAUAUUUGAUGGAAUUCAAUAUUUCUUUUUGUAUUAUUAUAGUUUGAAAUUCAGUGUAAUUUCUUUUGUUGGACCGAUGGAUACGAAAAACAAGGUGUGGUUCAGGUUGCACAAGAAAUUUUUAAUGAACUCAACUGGAGAAUGGAAUCUUUAGAGAGUAGUAUUAGCACAUUGAAGAUGCUUAUGUUUGGUGUUUGGUUGUUUUGGUUUUUAGUUAAAAAAUAGCUAGAGUGUGAGUGUGUCCAUGAUCAUUAUGUAAUGAUUUAUGAUUAUAAAU